GAAGAUCGGAGGUUAAAUUCCUCCCUAGCGCC
RNAcentral lists this transfer RNA (32 nucleotides) under Carassius gibelio (silver crucian carp). Its description in RNAcentral is "partial tRNA-Thr". The record is from RNAcentral. Lineage: Eukaryota; Metazoa; Chordata; Actinopteri; Cypriniformes; Cyprinidae.